GUUAAAGGCACUUGGAAGAAGGCCUUGCAGGAGGUGGUGUGUAAUAAAAGCAGUUCUGUUAAAGGACUCUCUGCUGGUCAGAGCAAUGUAAUCGAUAUCUCAUCCAGCUGUCUUGUUUGGUAGAAAUAUUACAGAUGGUGUUUCCUGCUGGAUGCCUGAAAGAAGUCUUCCUCAUAAGACCCUCUGCCAUGUCUAACUCUUAUUCACGGGGGGGUGUCCUACAAACCUAGCUUUCUGUAAUGGCAGGGGUGGCUGCCAUGGCUACUGCAUAGCAAUGAAUAAAGCUAACUCCUGCACCCCCCCGCCCCACCCCCGUCCUAUAUGUGGAAGUCCCCUGUGCCUGAGGGCUGACGUUGGUGAGUGCCUGAACAGGGUAACAACCAACAUGUCUUUCCCAUCAUCGAUCACACAGUCCUGCAUCCAGGGGGGUAUUCCUCAAAUCCUAUUCAGGAUGCUGCCAUUUGGACCGCAGUGCUACGUGAUGCCAUGUUUCACAUGUCUCGUCAUGUAGUGUUAGCUGGUAAAUGCUAUGGUACACCGAUAUCAUGGCUUUCACACGAUUAAGGACUGCUGGGAAUUCUGCCUUUCACUUGCAGAAUAAUGCUGAAACUCACCAGAAGGCCCUUGUUAGCCUCCCCUGGCAUACUUAAUGUGAAACUAAAUGACAUCCAGCAGAUGUUUAAUCCUUGUCCAAGAGCACAAAUCUCACCUAAAGAAUUUCCAAUGUUUAUUUUCAUGUCUGUAAAUCAUAACUUAUUCCCAUGCACCUGUCUACAUGUUGAUUGUCCAUCCCUACAUUUGGCUGUUAUAUGAAGGCCCGUGGGCCUCAGCACAGAACAGAAACAUUUCACCGAU
Non-coding RNA from Paramormyrops kingsleyae, 855 nucleotides. The record is from RefSeq and is a predicted model, not a curated record. NCBI's taxonomy places the organism in Eukaryota, Metazoa, Chordata, Actinopteri, Osteoglossiformes, Mormyridae.